CGAACGCUGGCGGCGUGCCUAACACAUGCAAGUCGAACGAUGAAGCUGGAAGAGCUUGCUCUUCUGGUGGAUUAGUGGCGCACGGGUGAGUAACACGUGGGCAACCUGCCCUCAGGAGGGGGACAACAUCGGGAAACCGGUGCUAAUACCGCAUAAGACCACAAUCUGGAAUGUUAGUGGUAAAACGGAUUUAUUCGCCUGAGGAUGGGCCCGCGGCCUAUCAGGUAGUUGGUGGGGUAAAGGCCUACCAAGCCGAUGACGGGUAGCCGGUCUGAGAGGAUGAGCGGCCACACUGGAACUGAGACACGGUCCAGACUCCUACGGGAGGCAGCAGUGGGGAAUUUUGCGCAAUGGGGGAAACCCUGACGCAGCGACGCCGCGUGGAGGAUGAAGGCCUUCGGGUUGUAAACUUCUUUUGCAGGGGAAGAUAGUGACGGUACCCUGAGAAUAAGCCACGGCUAACUCU
RNAcentral lists this ribosomal RNA (466 nucleotides) under uncultured bacterium. RNAcentral's name for it is "bacterial SSU rRNA". It matches the Rfam family "Bacterial small subunit ribosomal RNA", at positions 30 to 504 of the family's 1533-position model. The record is from RNAcentral.